This 301-nucleotide ribosomal RNA is filed under the name uncultured bacterium. RNAcentral's name for it is "partial 16S ribosomal RNA". It matches the Rfam family "Bacterial small subunit ribosomal RNA", at positions 509 to 807 of the family's 1533-position model. The record is from RNAcentral.
CAGCCGCCGCGGUAAUACGUAGGGUGCAAGCGUUAAUCGGGAUUACUGGGCGUAAAGCGUGCGCAGGCGGUUAUAUAAGUCAGAUGUGAAAUCCCCGGGCUCAACCUGGGAACUGCAUUUGAGACUGUAUGGCUAGAGUGUGUCAGAGGGGGGUAGAAUUCCACGUGUAGCAGUGAAAUGCGUAGAUAUGUGGAGGAAUACCGAUGGCGAAGGCAGCCCCCUGGGAUAACACUGACGCUCAUGCACGAAAGCGUGGGGAGCAAACAGGAUUAGAUACCCCAGUAGUCCCUGUCUCUUAUAC